UACAGAGGUGGCAGGCGUUGUUCGGAAUUACUGGGCGUAAAGGGCGCGUAGGCGGUCUUUUAAGUCUUGUGUGAAAUCCCUCGGCUCAACUGAGGAACUGCACGGGAUACUGGAAGACUUGAGUUCGGGAGAGGGAAGCGGAAUUCCGGGUGUAGCGGUGAAAUGCGUAGAUAUCCGGAGGAACACCGGUGGCGAAGGCGGCUUCCUGGACCGAUUAUUGACGCUGAGGCGCGAAAGCUAGGGGAGCAAACGGG
This 254-nucleotide ribosomal RNA is filed under the name uncultured bacterium. RNAcentral describes it as "partial 16S ribosomal RNA". It matches the Rfam family "Bacterial small subunit ribosomal RNA", at positions 524 to 776 of the family's 1533-position model. The record is from RNAcentral.